GAUGAACGCUGGCGGCGUGCCUAAUACAUGCAAGUCGAGCGAACAGACGAGGAGCUUGCUCCUCUGACGUUAGCGGCGGACGGGUGAGUAACACGUGGAUAACCUACCUAUAAGACUGGGAUAACUUCGGGAAACCGGAGCUAAUACCGGAUAAUAUAUUGAACCGCAUGGUUCAAUAGUGAAAGACGGUUUUGCUGUCACUUAUAUAUGUAUCCGCGCCGCAUUAGCUAGUUGGUAAGGUAACGGCGUACCAAGGCAACGAUGCGUAGCCGACCUGAGAGGGUGAUCGGCCACACUGGAACUGAGACACGGUCCAGACUCCUACGGGAGGCAGCAGUAGGGAAUCUUCCGCAAUGGGCGAAAGCCUGACGGAGCAACGCCGCGUGAGUGAUGAAGGUCUUCGGAUCGUAAAACUCUGUUAUUAGGGAAGAACAAAUGUGUAAGUAACUAUGCACGUCUUGACGGUACCUAAUCAGAAAGCCACGGCUAACUACGUG
RNAcentral lists this ribosomal RNA (497 nucleotides) under uncultured bacterium. RNAcentral describes it as "partial 16S ribosomal RNA". It matches the Rfam family "Bacterial small subunit ribosomal RNA", at positions 28 to 507 of the family's 1533-position model. The record is from RNAcentral.